This is a long non-coding RNA of Asterias rubens (European starfish), 178 nucleotides long. RefSeq lists it as uncharacterized. The record is from RefSeq and is a predicted model, not a curated record. The transcript is spliced from 3 exons. Lineage: Eukaryota; Metazoa; Echinodermata; Asteroidea; Forcipulatida; Asteriidae.
AUGAAGUGCAAGACAUGUCCUCACAAAGUAAAUGCAAAAACUGCAUUACAUGGUGUGGUCUAUCAUUCAUAUCUGCGUCUCAACUCUCACAAGAAUGUUGAAGGCCGUCAGGAGGUCGUCGACCAGAAAGACCUAGGACCACUGAUUGACAGGGCAUGUGCCAAGUGCCGUCACGAUG